This 357-nucleotide unclassified non-coding RNA is filed under the name uncultured bacterium. Its description in RNAcentral is "contains 16S-23S intergenic spacer region". The record is from RNAcentral.
ACCGGGUUGGACCUGGCGGUCCCGCCAGACAUCGUAACUGGCGGCGAGGGUUGCGCUCGUUGCGGGACUUAACCCAACACCUCACGGCACGAGCUGACGACAGCCAUGCAGCAUCUGUGGUGCACCCUCGAAGGUCACACGUUUCCGUGCGCUUGCAGCACCAUGUCAAGUCCAGGUAAGGUUCUUCGCGUUGCAUCGAAUUAAGCCACAUGCUCCACCGCUUGUGCGGGCCCCCGCCAAUUCCUUUGAGUUUUAAUCUUGCGAUCGUAGUUCCCAGGCGGUUCACUUAAUGCGUUAGCUGCGGCACCGAAUCUUGCGACCCGACACCUAGUGAACAUCGUUUACGGCCAAGACUAC